This 483-nucleotide ribosomal RNA is filed under the name uncultured Flavobacteriaceae bacterium. Its description in RNAcentral is "bacterial SSU rRNA". It matches the Rfam family "Bacterial small subunit ribosomal RNA", at positions 28 to 507 of the family's 1533-position model. The record is from RNAcentral. Lineage: Bacteria; Pseudomonadati; Bacteroidota; Flavobacteriia; Flavobacteriales; Flavobacteriaceae.
GAUGAACGCUAGCGGCAGGCUUAACACAUGCAAGUCGAGGGGUAACAUUGUUGCUUGCAACAGAUGACGACCGGCGCACGGGUGCGUAACGCGUAUAGAACCUACCUUUAACUAAGGGAUAGCCCAGAGAAAUUUGGAUUAAUACCUUAUAGUAUGUUUUUGUGGCAUCACAGAGAUUUUAAAGAUUUAUUGGUUAGAGAUGGCUAUGCGUUCUAUUAGUUAGUUGGCGAGGUAACGGCUCCCCAAGACUACGAUAGAUAGGGGUCCUGAGAGGGAGAUCCCCACACUGGUACUGAGACACGGACCAGACUCCUACGGGAGGCAGCAGUGAGGAAUAUUGGACAAUGGAGGCAACUCUGAUCCAGCCAUGCCGCGUGUAGGAAGACUGCCCUAUGGGUUGUAAACUACUUUUAUACAAGAAGAAACGCGAUCUCGUGAGAUUGUUUGACGGUAUUGUACGAAUAAGGAUCGGCUAACUCCGUG